UGGUGGUGUAGGGGCUUAUUGCUAAGCAUGACAAUAUUUUCUUUCCAUGGUCGGUAGAGAAUAAGACUGUUGGAUGGAGGGUUGCUGCUGUAGAGGAGCAGCCAUCAUCUUCUUAUUGUUUAGGGAGGGUGGGGGUGAGCGAGAAGGAGGAGAUGUAGAAAUAUAUGGGAGGAUAGAGGAUGAAGAAACAGAGAAGAGGAAGAGGUGGGCAAAAUCAUAGCUGCCGAUGUGGGUUCGAGCAAGAAGAAUGAGGG
Molecule: long non-coding RNA, 254 nt
Filed under: Elaeis guineensis (African oil palm)
Lineage: Eukaryota; Viridiplantae; Streptophyta; Magnoliopsida; Arecales; Arecaceae
Description: long non-coding RNA (EGUI_LNC039634)
Source: RNAcentral